CAGUACUGGUCUUWGAGGGCCACCAURCUGCAUGUUUUACUUAUUUCUCUGCUUCAACACCUGAUUCAGUGACUGAAUGACCUUGUCAAGUUCUGCACAAGCCUUUUAAUCACUCUCAUCCAAAUCAGGUGUGUUUUAACAAAGGAGCCUCAACAACAUGCAGAUGAUGGCCCUGGAGGAGCAGGAUCAGAUUUUUAAUGAGAAUUCAAAUUAAAACAUGGGCUCAAAGCACCACUCAGAUGUAAUAUACAUCAUCACAUCAUCUGCAAAAAGAUGUGCUUUGUUUUGCUUAUAUGGUAACAUGUUAAUCUGACUAAAGCCAGUCAAAGUGAGGUGAUUGAAACAGAGGAUUCUGAAUACAGAAGACAAAACGACUGCCAUGGAGCAUUACACUACAGUGGAUGUUGGAGACYUCUUUUUUUGGUUUUGUUCAUCUGUUAAAAAUAAUCCACAAACUAUCACCACUGCUUUUUCUUCGUCGGCCAUGUUUAUUUAAUCUGAACUCAUGUUUGAUCUUGAGAGAUUUUGCGAGAUGUCCUGCCUUUCAUCUGAAUGUUGACCUGGCUGACGUGGACCAGAGGCCAUUUAGGAUCCUUUUGGCAGUUUUUUAAACCUGUACAAGAUGCUACAGCUAGCUGUUGGACUGCCGGCGCAGUUUGGGYCGCUUCCUGGAGAACUGUACUAUUCCAGCCAGAAUUACCAUAUAAAGGCUUGGCUCAGACUACUGAGUCUGGUCAAAAAUAAACCAUUUCUACAAAACUACGGUUGUUCAAAGAGCUAUCUACAACAGACCAGCGUGGCGCUAGCAGCUGAGUAAAUCAUGGCCUGUUCUUGCAUUUCUCACAUAAUCACAGCUUCGUAUCUGGCAUCCGUCCAGUUUCAGACCACAGCAGCUCUGUACGAUGACACACACACACACACACACACACACACACACACACACACACACACACACACACACAUAUUUUCCUGUCUCCUGAAUGGAGCCUUUGUGCUGAAACAUUUAUUCCAGCUCAGAAAGGCCCGCCCCCACAGAUCCACAUGUUCAGGGUGGUAAUGAUGGAGCCUCAGAGCACUGCUCUAAUCUGCUUCCUCCGUCAGGUUCUCAGAUCCCAGAGGAAUACAGCCAACAUGGCAGAACAAACUCACACACAC
Molecule: long non-coding RNA, 1155 nt
Organism: Austrofundulus limnaeus
Lineage: Eukaryota; Metazoa; Chordata; Actinopteri; Cyprinodontiformes; Rivulidae
Exons: 3
Source: RefSeq, a predicted model, not a curated record